ACAACACAGUGAUGUGAAGCGAAACCCAAAAAGCAGUCACAGUUCGGAUUGAAGGCUGAAAUUCGCCUUCAUGAAGCCGGAAUUGCUAGUAAUGGCAGGUCAGCAUACUGCCGUGAAUACGUUCCCGGGCCUUGUACACACCGCCCGUCACACCAUGAGAGUUGGGGAUACCCGAAGCCCGUGAGCCAACUUUUUAAGAGGCAGCAGUCGAAGGUAGAAUCAAUGAUUGGGGUGAAGUCGUAACAAGGUAUC
This 252-nucleotide ribosomal RNA is filed under the name uncultured bacterium. Its description in RNAcentral is "partial 16S ribosomal RNA". It matches the Rfam family "Bacterial small subunit ribosomal RNA", at positions 1249 to 1500 of the family's 1533-position model. The record is from RNAcentral.